GAUGAACGCUGGCGGCGUGCUUAACACAUGCAAGUCGAGCGGGGGUUAUAUGAGCUUGCUCAAAUAACCUUAGCGGCGGACGGGUGAGUAACGCGUGAGCAACCUGCCCUAUACACAGGGAUAACAUUGAGAAAUCGAUGCUAAUACCUGAUAAACUUUAGAUAAGGCAUCUUAAUAAAAGGAAAGCUGAGGCGGUAUAGGAGGGGCUCGCGUCUGAUUAGCUAGUUGGUGUGGUAAAGGCAUACCAAGGCGACGAUCAGUAGCCGACCUGAGAGGGUGAUCGGCCACAUUGGAACUGAGACACGGUCCAAACUCCUACGGGAGGCAGCAGUGGGGAAUAUUGCACAAUGGGGGGAACCCUGAUGCAGCAACGCCGCGUGAAGGAAGAAGUAUUUCGGUAUGUAAACUUCUAUCGACAGGGAAGAAAGAUAUGACGGUACCUGAAUAAGAAGCACCGGCUAAAUACGUGCCAGCAGCCGCGGUAAUACGUAUGGUGCAAGCGUUAUCCGGAAUUACUGGGUGUAAAGGGUGAGUAGGCGGUUAUUCAAGUCAUAUGUGAAAGACUGUGGCUCAACCACAGAGGUGCAUAAGAAACUGAGUAACUAGAGUGCAGGAGAGGUAAGCGGAAUUCCUAGUGUAGCGGUGAAAUGCGUAGAUAUUAGGAAGAACACCGGUGGCGAAGGCGGCUUACUGGACUGAAACUGACGCUGAGUCACGAAAGCGUGGGGAGCGAACAGGAUUAGAUACCCUGGUAGUCCACGCUGUAAACGAUGAGUGCUAGGUGUUGGGGGGGAGACCUUCGGUGCCGUAGCAAACGCAAUAAGCACUCCACCUGGGGAGUACGACCGCAAGGUUGAAACUCAAAGGAAUUGACGGGGACCCGCACAAGCGGUGGAGCAUGUGGUUUAAUUCGAAGCAACGCGAAGAACCUUACCUAAACUUGACAUACCAUUGACAGCAUAUGUAAAGUAUGUUUCUUUCGGGACAAUGGAUACAGGUGGUGCAUGGUUGUCGUCAGCUCGUGUCGUGAGAUGUUGGGUUAAGUCCCGCAACGAGCGCAACCCUUAUUCUUAGUAGCCAGCGGGUAGAGCCGGGCACUCUAGGGAGACUGCCGUGGAUAACACGGAGGAAGGUGGGGACGACGUCAAAUCAUCAUGCCCCUUAUGUUUAGGGCUACACACGUGCUACAAUGGCUACAACAAAGUGAAGCGAGGCUGAAAGGCGGAGCAAAGCACAAAAAAGUAGUCCCAGUUCGGAUUGUAGUCUGCAACUCGACUACAUGAAGUUGGAAUCGCUAGUAAUCGCGGAUCAGAAUGUCGCGGUGAAUACGUUCCCGGGUCU
This 1341-nucleotide ribosomal RNA is filed under the name uncultured bacterium. Its description in RNAcentral is "bacterial SSU rRNA". It matches the Rfam family "Bacterial small subunit ribosomal RNA", at positions 28 to 1381 of the family's 1533-position model. The record is from RNAcentral.